GCUGGAUGUGGAUGUGCACAUCUGUAUUCCCAGUGACUUGGGAGGCUGAAGCAGGAGGAUUCUGAGGUCAAGGGUCAGCCUCAGCAAUUUAAUGAGACCCAGUCUAAAUAAAAAGUGCUGGGAUAUGGCUUAGUGGUAUAGGAUCUCUAGGUUCUA
This 156-nucleotide small RNA is filed under the name Marmota monax (woodchuck). Lineage: Eukaryota; Metazoa; Chordata; Mammalia; Rodentia; Sciuridae. The record is from RNAcentral.